Molecule: non-coding RNA, 121 nt
Organism: Picea glauca (white spruce)
Lineage: Eukaryota; Viridiplantae; Streptophyta; Pinopsida; Pinales; Pinaceae
Source: Rfam
ACAUGCCUACAAUAUAAUGUUAAUGCACUGGAUCCCAUUAGAACUCUGCAGUUAAGCGCACUCAGUCUAGAGUAGUACUAGGUUGGGUGACCAGCCGGGAAGUCCCAAUGUUUUACAUGCG